GGAGAGAUGGCUCAGCGGUUGAGCACUGACUGCUCUUCUGGAGGUCCUGAGUUCAAUUCCCAGCAACCACA
RNAcentral lists this transfer RNA (71 nucleotides) under Mus musculus (house mouse). RNAcentral's name for it is "tRNA-Ser". The record is from RNAcentral. Lineage: Eukaryota; Metazoa; Chordata; Mammalia; Rodentia; Muridae.